UACGUAGGUGGCAAGCGUUGUCCGGAUUUACUGGGCGUAAAGGGCGUGCAGGCGGUUUGUUAAGUCUAGGGUGAAAGCUCCCGGCUCAACUGGGAGAGGUCCUUGGAUACUGGCAGACUUGAGGAGGGUAGAGGAGAGUGGAAUUCCCGGUGUAGUGGUGAUAUGCGUAGAUAUCGGGAGGAACACCAGUGGCGAAGGCGGCUCUCUGGGCCCUACCUGACGCUGAGACGCGAAAGCUAGGGGAGCAAACGGG
Molecule: ribosomal RNA, 253 nt
Filed under: uncultured bacterium
Lineage: Bacteria
Description: partial 16S ribosomal RNA
Rfam family: Bacterial small subunit ribosomal RNA
Source: RNAcentral